Molecule: non-coding RNA, 1078 nt
Organism: Triticum urartu
Lineage: Eukaryota; Viridiplantae; Streptophyta; Magnoliopsida; Poales; Poaceae
Source: RefSeq, a predicted model, not a curated record
UCCUCACAUCACGCGGUCCCCCAAUUCCCCAUUCUAUUCGCGUCGUGAGAUAACGACGAGCAGGGGCGGCGCCACUUCGCCGCUACUUCACGCCGGAUUCAUGGCGGGUAGCCGUUGCGUGAGGCCGACCACUCGCGGGCACUACCGGUGAGUCCCCAGCCCGCCCGCCCACGCCGGUCCUCCCCAUCUGGCCCCUAAAAGUUCGCCAUGACAUUCCUAGCCGGUCGCCGUCGAUGCUUUUGAUGCCGCCAUGCGUGCAGGUGCUGGCCUGGGUGGUGCCGCUGGCACUUACGAUCCUGCCGUGAGCCGGCUUAUGGGGCAGGUUCCCAGCGGAGUCCACGGCAACAGCGCCGGCGGCCCCAACCAGGCCAGCACCUGCAAGCUCCCGUGGAGUCCAUGGAGGCGAACUCCAGCUCCCUGGGGACGGACCUGCACCGCACCCCUUUUCGCUGCUCGCCGUGCUGGUGCUCCACGCCGGCGUCAGGUGCCUGCUCCGCCGCCACCAGUGGAAGAGGGGAAGUGAGCAGAGGUGUGGUGCUCGCCAACAGAGGAGCAGAGAACAGAGGCGUCAGGUUUUUCUCAAGAACUGGUGUAUGAGUUGUAGUCUAACACAUUUGGCUGUGUUGUCUGAAUGUUCACAAAUAUAUGCGGGAAGCAGUGGCGAGAAGGAUAGGGCGAUAGGCAAGGGGACUUGUUGGCUGCUUUGAGAAGGAGAUGCAAGGAACCAGAAGCGGGAACCGGCACAGCGACACCAUGUUCGUUCAUCUUCAUAAGGAAGUUGCCUACAAUAUAUCUUUUGCCAUAUGAUUUGCGGCAACCAGCAAGUGGAUGGAGGAGAGAGGCGUCGGAGUGCCGGCGACCAGCAAGCGAAGCAAUAGCAAUGGCCAAGGGGGCAGCGCCAUCCGUGCGUCACGACCACCUAGCAGGAGGAGCUGGAUCCCGGAAAGCAUUGUCGUCAGUGGUCAAGGAAUGGGCUGCAAAGCGCCCAUUAGUAUCUCGAAAUCGCCCCCCUAGGCAUGUGUUUUUCUAUUCAAAUAUCUGAUUCUAUGCAAUAAAGGCGGGAUAGAGAGGUUGAUGA